UAUAUAUUCCCUCCGUCCCAAUAUUCUUGUCUUAGAUUUGUCUACAUAUGAAUGUAUGUAGUCACGGUUUAGUAUUUAGAUACAUUUAUUUUUAGACAAACUUACGACAAGAAUUUUGGGACGGAGGGGGUAUUUG
Molecule: non-coding RNA, 136 nt
Organism: Hordeum vulgare subsp. vulgare (domesticated barley)
Lineage: Eukaryota; Viridiplantae; Streptophyta; Magnoliopsida; Poales; Poaceae
Source: Rfam